GCACCCUCUAGGGGCUACUAAGAAUCUCGCUAAUACUGACUCUUAAUCAGUAGGUUGAUGGUUCGAGUCCAUCGCGGGGCA
This 81-nucleotide transfer RNA is filed under the name Longimicrobiales bacterium. RNAcentral's name for it is "tRNA-Ser". The stretch from base 24 to 81 matches the Rfam family "tRNA". From Rfam's summary of the family: Transfer RNA (tRNA) molecules are approximately 80 nucleotides in length. Their secondary structure includes four short double-helical elements and three loops (D, anti-codon, and T loops). Further hydrogen bonds mediate the characteristic L-shaped molecular structure. tRNAs have two regions of fundamental functional importance: the anti-codon, which is responsible for specific mRNA codon recognition, and the 3' end, to which the tRNAs corresponding amino acid is attached (by aminoacyl-tRNA synthetases). tRNAs cope with the degeneracy of the genetic code in two manners: having more than one tRNA (with a specific anti-codon) for a particular amino acid; and 'wobble' base-pairing, i.e. permitting non-standard base-pairing at the 3rd anti-codon position. The record is from RNAcentral. Lineage: Bacteria; Pseudomonadati; Gemmatimonadota; Longimicrobiia; Longimicrobiales.